CCUACGGGUGGCAGCAGUGAGGAAUAUUGGUCAAUGGACGAAAGUCUGAACCAGCCAAGUAGCGUGAAGGAUGACUGCCCUAUGGGUUGUAAACUUCUUUUAUAUGGGAAUAAAAUGUUCCACGUGUGGGAUUUUGUAUGUAUAAUAUGAAUAAGGCUCGGCUAACUCUGUGCCAGCAGCCGCGGUAAUACGGAGGAUCAGAGCGUUAUCCGGAUUUAUUGGGUUUAAAGGGAGCGUAGGUGGAUUGUUAAGUCAGUGGUGAAAGUUUGCGGCUCAACCGUAAAAUUGCAGUUGAAACUGGCAGUCUUGAGUACAGUAGAGGUGGGCGGAAUUCGUGGUGUAGCGGUGAAAUGCUUAGAUAUCACGAAGAACUCCGAUUGCGAAGGCAGCUCGCUGGACUGCAACUGACACUGAGGCUCGAAAGUGUAGGUAUCAAACAGGAUUAGAUACCCGGGUAGUC
This 460-nucleotide ribosomal RNA is filed under the name uncultured bacterium. RNAcentral's name for it is "partial 16S ribosomal RNA". It matches the Rfam family "Bacterial small subunit ribosomal RNA", at positions 338 to 795 of the family's 1533-position model. The record is from RNAcentral.